AGACCAUGAUGUGGAUAAAGCCUCAUCAUGUCCUUGUAUCUCUCCCAAGCUUUAAAAAGAGAUUCAUUGUCUUUUUUAUUAAACCCGAUAUAUUUGGGCUCUUAGCAU
Small nucleolar RNA from Lathyrus oleraceus (garden pea), 108 nucleotides. Lineage: Eukaryota; Viridiplantae; Streptophyta; Magnoliopsida; Fabales; Fabaceae. The record is from RefSeq and is a predicted model, not a curated record.